This is a long non-coding RNA of Ochotona princeps (American pika), 459 nucleotides long. RefSeq lists it as uncharacterized. The transcript is spliced from 2 exons. NCBI's taxonomy places the organism in Eukaryota, Metazoa, Chordata, Mammalia, Lagomorpha, Ochotonidae. The record is from RefSeq and is a predicted model, not a curated record.
CGCGCGCGUGGGCAGGGAACCCUUCUAUGGAUCAGAUGUGACGCUGGGGGGGCUGGACCUUUAAUGACGGCAAGUCCAGCGGGGAGGAGCAGAGACAUCUGCCGUCUCCUCGAACCCUGCACCCAGCCGAAGGUCGCGAUCCUCCCCCCCUGCUCCAGGGCCGCCGCCGCCCACGACGACGACGACGACGACAACGACGAGGAUGACCAGGGGUGGCUUAGGGACCCGCACCGGCUUGAUACCGCUGCGCGGGGGCCGCGCGGGAGGCGGAGCGCCAACAUGGUGACGCACUUCCGGCGGGAGCCGGCCGCUUGGGGAGGACCCUCGCGUUGGAGGUGGAGCUGCAGGCCCUGGGCCUGGCUGGCCUGAGGCGCGCGGGGCUGGGGGGCCCCUGGAGACGCCCACAUGUCUCACCCCCUACCCCCGCACCCCUGACGCAAAUCGAGAGUCCAGACAGCA